RNAcentral lists this ribosomal RNA (440 nucleotides) under uncultured bacterium. RNAcentral describes it as "partial 16S ribosomal RNA". It matches the Rfam family "Bacterial small subunit ribosomal RNA", at positions 338 to 795 of the family's 1533-position model. The record is from RNAcentral.
CCUACGGGUGGCAGCAGUGGGGAAUAUUGCGCAAUGGGCGAAAGCCUGACGCAGCGACGCCGCGUGGGUGAAGAAGGGCCUCGGCGCGGAAAGCCCUGUCAGCAGGGAAGAAAAUGACGGUACCUGAAGAAGAAGCCCCGGCUAACGACGUGCCAGCAGCCGCGGGAAUACGUAGGGGGCAAGCGUUAUCCGGAGUUACGGGGUGUAAAGGGGGCGGAGCCGGCGAGGCAAGCCAGGAGUGAAAGCCCGGGGCCCAACCCCGGGACUGCUCUUGGAACUGCGUGGCUGGAGGGCAGGAGGGGCAGGCGGCAUUCCUGGUGUAGCGGUGAACUGCGUAGCUAUCCGGCGGAACCCCGGUGGCGCAGGCGGCCUGCUGGACUGCAACUGACGUUGCGGCCCGCAAGCGUGGGGAUCAAACAGGAUUAGAUCCCCUAGUAGUC